RNAcentral lists this ribosomal RNA (404 nucleotides) under Actinomycetes bacterium. RNAcentral's name for it is "Actinobacteria bacterium partial 16S ribosomal RNA". It matches the Rfam family "Bacterial small subunit ribosomal RNA", at positions 355 to 776 of the family's 1533-position model. Lineage: Bacteria; Bacillati; Actinomycetota; Actinomycetes. The record is from RNAcentral.
UGGGGAAUAUUGGACAAUGGGCGCAAGCCUGAUCCAGCCAUGCCGCGUGAGUGAUGAAGGCCCUAGGGUUGUAAAGCUCUUUCACCGGUGAAGAUAAUGACGGUAACCGGAGAAGAAGCCCCGGCUAACUUCGUGCCAGCAGCCGCGGUAAUACGAAGGGGGCUAGCGUUGUUCGGAUUUACUGGGCGUAAAGCGCACGUAGGCGGACUUUUAAGUCAGGGGUGAAAUCCCGGGGCUCAACCCCGGAACUGCCUUUGAUACUGGAAGUCUUGAGUAUGGUAGAGGUGGGUGGAAUUCCGAGUGUAGAGGUGAAAUUCGUAGAUAUUCGGAGGAACACCAGUGGCGAAGGCGGCUCACUGGACCAUUACUGACGCUGAGGUGCGAAAGAGUGGGGAGCAAACAGG